Molecule: long non-coding RNA, 211 nt
Filed under: Ananas comosus (pineapple)
Lineage: Eukaryota; Viridiplantae; Streptophyta; Magnoliopsida; Poales; Bromeliaceae
Description: long non-coding RNA (ACOM_LNC043940)
Source: RNAcentral
CUAAAAUACUAUCGAUAGCAAACGGGCUCCGUUGCCACCCAUUUGUUUUCGAUGAUAGAGCCUCCAAAUCGACGAUCGGCACCGUUGAACAUGAUCUAUACCACUUGAAGUGUUUAGAAAUCAAAUUUCAAAUCUUUUCGACAUCAUUUGCCUAAUGAUCAAAGGGUUUCAAAAUUUAUAAUUUUAAUGGUCGAUAUGAGGCGUUUUCUCG